UCUAUUGAAAUUUCUCAUUGGAUGGCUUUGAGGUUAAGAAUUAAUCAUCUGGGCACAUGUUAAACUAGAAAUUGAAGCUGAAAAACGAAGAGAGAAAGGGAAUUAUGAAUUUGUUGAGUUUGGCCGACUGAAGAAGAGGAAAACCGAAUUAGGGCCGUUCUUGUGAAGGCAAAUUGGGAAAAAUCAAAGAAACUUAAAGAGGAAGUAAAGAAGAAGCUCUUGGGAGGUUUGAUUUGAAGAAAUUUGGCUGAAGAAGUAAGGAAAACGAAGAAAAACAGUGGCACUACGGGAAAACAGAGGAUGCUCGGAUUUUUAGCAAAUUCGUGGAGUUAGAGGCUAAUUCGAAGCUCCAAAUUUAAAGGGGUACCGUGGAGAAUUUGGUCGAUUCCGGGAGUUCUAGGGCAAUUCGGACGUCUAAACCUUGAGGAUAAACGGGAGAUGGAGAAACCGAAAUUAUGAGGAGGAGCCGAUUAGUUGUAGCGACGAGUUCCUGGUGCUUGCUGAGCCGUCAAACGCCACUAGUGUUGUUAAACAUCUGUUGUAUUGUUUGUGCAUGUAUUUGAGAGUAUUCCAGAAUAGCUAAAACUUGUGAGUUACAUGUCAUGGGAUGUUUUGUUCAAAAUAAUCCUUAAUGUUGGUCUGUAAAUCUAUUUAAACCGUAUUAUGAUUUAAACUGAAUUAAAUUCCUAAACUCUCUCAACGAACAUAGAUUAUUUUUGGAAAUGGGUUUUGGAAGUUUGGGUUUGAUCUUGAGUACAGGAUAUGUUAAGAGUUGGGACAUUAGAUGUCAUAGAGAGAAGUGAUGUUUAACGUCUUCACGCUUCGUUUUGGAAGAGUUUGAAAGAGAGUUGGGAAUCCAACUAUGAGAACCAGUGGAUAAGAGUUACUCUUAACUGGUGUAUUCUGUAUGAUGCAUCAAUACAUAUUGGGUUUAGGAAAG
Long non-coding RNA from Benincasa hispida (wax gourd), 940 nucleotides. RefSeq lists it as uncharacterized. The record is from RefSeq and is a predicted model, not a curated record. Lineage: Eukaryota; Viridiplantae; Streptophyta; Magnoliopsida; Cucurbitales; Cucurbitaceae.